Molecule: long non-coding RNA, 407 nt
Filed under: Danio rerio (zebrafish)
Lineage: Eukaryota; Metazoa; Chordata; Actinopteri; Cypriniformes; Danionidae
Description: long non-coding RNA NONDRET014757
Source: RNAcentral
GGCGUUGAGCGGGUGUGUCUUUCGUUGCGAGUCUCCUGUAGUGAUUCUCAGCGAUUAAACAUCGGCCCGUUUGAGUGAUUCACGGUGCAAGACCGAAAUCAUCAUCCAGAUCAGCUACCAAACAAACCCCGAGUUCUUGACAGAAAGUCUGAAAACCAAACUGACGUCAUGAUUGAGCAUCUUCCACUGGGCGUUGACCCCGAGACAUCGGCUGCCAAAAUGGAGAACGACAAGAAGAAGAAAGUGAAAGAGACAAAGAAGAAAAAGAAGAGCAAGGUUGCUUUGUUCACCAGAGCGGCCUUGAGAUGGUUCUGCUUCUCUCCCAGUGAUGAGCCGUUCAGAUUCCCAUCCUCUGAUGAUUAUGAGGUCUAUGAGAAGAGGAUGGUGGAGGAAGAGGAACUGAAGGA